Nerophis lumbriciformis (worm pipefish) is the source of this 713-nucleotide non-coding RNA. NCBI's taxonomy places the organism in Eukaryota, Metazoa, Chordata, Actinopteri, Syngnathiformes, Syngnathidae. The record is from RefSeq and is a predicted model, not a curated record.
UUGUUCUGUACAGGCCGGUGUGUUGUCUUCCUGUGGCGGAGGGUCCACAGGAUGAAUAGCCAAGCAGGCAGCGAUGUGGAACCGGAGGACAGGCCUUGCAGGGCCUGUGCUGCUGUACCGCAGCCUUCAGACUGAGGCUACAGAUCUGCCCUGGGGCCAACCUACCAGAGAGAUUCCUGGGAUUAUUUUUCCAGCUCUUCACCUGGACAACAUGGGAGGAUACGGGUAGAAUAUGAUGAAGUUGUCCCUAACCACCCUCAACCUCCAGUUGAGAUUCCAGAGGGGACAGACCUCCUGACCUGGCCGGUGCUCUCUCUCUCCAGAGGUGUCAGCAAUAUCAAGCUCACUUAAAUGUGAAAGUAGGGCGAUCCACAGGUGAUAUUGGGCAAACCGGCCACUAAUUACACACACCAGGGCUAUUCAGGCUAAGUAGUGGCAGCUGGGAGGCGCCGGUUCCACAUGCUUGGUUCUCCUGUUCGUGGGUACACGUACUUCUACGCCACUGGCUUUUUCCCGUGACUCGCCCUUGGAGGCUCCUUCUCUCUUUGGCACCGGUGUCUCCCCAUUGUGUGGUUGGCCCAGCUGUGUUCUGGCGUGACCACUAGUUAAGUUGUUUAAUGUGUGGUGUUUUUACAUGAUGUGCUUCCUCCCUCGCCACCAUCACUUUUUGUUAAUUCCUUCCUGGAUUAAAGACUGUAAAUUGCAAGUUGGCC